UCCAUUCUAUGCUUCCAAAGAAGUGGGCUGUAGCCCACGAAAGCUUAUGCUCUACUAAAUUUGUUCGUCUCUAAGGUGCCACAUGUACUCCUGUUCUUUUUGGAGUUAUUUUAGAAAUCUUUGGGGUAAAGGAGUUAUUUUAGAUAGCAGGUGAUCUGCAGCUGGGGGAUUUACUCAAGUAUUAUGGAGGAGCCAUAUCUGAUCCAAAGUAAAGGGAGAGGCAAGCUUCCCAUUGUAAGUGCCCAUGUCUGAGCAAAGCAGCAUGGAAACUGAGCACCUUGCAGGAAUAUGCUGCUCACUAAAGAGUAAGUUAAGAGUUAUUUAUUUCUCACUCCUGGCUGAAGCAAGCUAUCCUUUGCUUAUUGUUUUUUGUUCGCUUGUUUGUUUGACCCGGCUGAAGAAAGCCCCAGAACUAACUCUUCAUGCAUUAGGCCAAAGCACAACAAUGCUCUGUGCUUCAAAAAGUGGCAGGAUGCAAUAUUUCUCUUUAAACUUGUUCUCCCCUUUGCCUACACAGAGAACAAUGUCUUAAAUAAUUGGUAAACUUUUCUAAAAUAUAAACUAAGCUGCUACUGAUUCCAGGCUGUGCUGCCCUAGCUGCUGACUCAAGCCUAGAGGUGUGUGUUGGGAGAGCAUGGAGCCUGAAGUGGCAGAGCACUGCAGAAGAAAUUCUGGCCCAAUAUAAAGCUGAGAACGGUGCAGAGACAGAAUGUGACUUGACUGAGGAAUAUUGAGAUUCAGAUCCCAAUCACGCAACUUUUUCCAUGGACGCAGCGGUCUCCAGCUACACAGAGCUUCCAUAGGGUGUGGGAAUCUGCACACAGAACAAAUUCUGGGGAGCAACAGCCAGCCUAGGAAUCAUUUUGGUUCUAAAGUUACAUACACCCAAAAAUAAAGGUUUCUAAUAGAA
Non-coding RNA from Chrysemys picta bellii (western painted turtle), 910 nucleotides. The record is from RefSeq and is a predicted model, not a curated record. NCBI's taxonomy places the organism in Eukaryota, Metazoa, Chordata, Testudines, Emydidae.